CGCGAGGUUGCGUAACAGCGGAAGCGGGGAGCAAGUUCUCUGCUUCGCUCGAUGUUGAUGUAGGGUGCGAACGUAGCGGCCGCUAAAAGGACGGUUGUCCCCUUGGACGCAGAGAUGACGAGUGACAACCUCAAGGCGCAGCGGGCCGCCCUGUGGUCGCGUCGAUUCGCUCUGCUAUACGCGAUGGGAGUGUGGACGGUUAUUGGGUAUUUCGUUUCCCGGUCAGUGCGUUUCAGGGAGAUCCCACUGCAGGAGAAGAAGGAUCUGCCGCCACCACCGCCACUCGAUGACAACGAAUAUUCCAGAAGUGUUUGACAAGAGCAGAAGAUCAAGACUGAAACUGGACUCACAUUAACGGCAAAAACUAGUUCAUCUGUUUUUGUGCCAUAUUCUUCUCAUUUGCAUAAUCAUGCUGUCAAUUUUUUAUAAUAAUACUGGGAAAGAAAAGUAAAUUAUAUUGAAAAAAAGAGAUGUA
Molecule: long non-coding RNA, 475 nt
Organism: Crotalus tigris (Tiger rattlesnake)
Lineage: Eukaryota; Metazoa; Chordata; Lepidosauria; Squamata; Viperidae
Exons: 2
Source: RefSeq, a predicted model, not a curated record